AGUGAACGCUGGCGGUAGGCCUAACACAUGCAAGUCGAACGGCAGCACAGUAAGAGCUUGCUCUUACGGGUGGCGAGUGGCGGACGGGUGGGGAAUACAUCGGAAUCUACUUUUUCGUGGGGGAUAACGUAGGGAAACUUACGCUAAUACCGCAUACGACCUACGGGUGAAAGCAGGGGAUCUUCGGACCUUGCGCGUUUGAAUGAGCCGAUGUCGGAUUAGCCAGUUGGCGGGGUAAAGGCCCACCAAGGCGACGAUCCGUAGCUGGUCUGAGAGGAUGAUCAGCCACACUGGAACUGAGACACGGUCCAGACUCCUACGGGAGGCAGCAGUGGGGAAUAUUGGACAAUGGGCGCAAGCCUGAUCCAGCCAUACCGCGUGGGUGAAGAAGGCCUUCGGGUUGUAAAGCCCUUUUGUUGGGAAAGAAAAGCAGCAGGUUAAUACCCCGCUGUUCUGACGGUACCCAAAGAAUAAGCACCGGCUAACUUCGUG
This 492-nucleotide ribosomal RNA is filed under the name uncultured bacterium. Its description in RNAcentral is "partial 16S ribosomal RNA". It matches the Rfam family "Bacterial small subunit ribosomal RNA", at positions 29 to 507 of the family's 1533-position model. The record is from RNAcentral.